GGGGAUGUGGCUCAGUGGUAGAGUGCUUGCCUAGUAUGCAGGAGCCUCUGGGUUUAAUCCUAGCACCA
RNAcentral lists this transfer RNA (68 nucleotides) under Urocitellus parryii (Arctic ground squirrel). RNAcentral's name for it is "Spermophilus parryii (Arctic ground squirrel) tRNA". It matches the Rfam family "tRNA". Rfam says of the family: Transfer RNA (tRNA) molecules are approximately 80 nucleotides in length. Their secondary structure includes four short double-helical elements and three loops (D, anti-codon, and T loops). Lineage: Eukaryota; Metazoa; Chordata; Mammalia; Rodentia; Sciuridae. The record is from Rfam by way of RNAcentral. RNAcentral also lists the same sequence under 2 other names.